This 77-nucleotide transfer RNA is filed under the name Rubrobacter radiotolerans. RNAcentral describes it as "tRNA-Ile". It matches the Rfam family "tRNA". Rfam says of the family: Transfer RNA (tRNA) molecules are approximately 80 nucleotides in length. Their secondary structure includes four short double-helical elements and three loops (D, anti-codon, and T loops). RNAcentral also lists the same sequence under 1 other name. The record is from RNAcentral. Lineage: Bacteria; Bacillati; Actinomycetota; Rubrobacteria; Rubrobacterales; Rubrobacteraceae.
GGGCCUGUAGCUCAGGUGGUUAGAGCGCUUCUCUGAUAAGGAAGAGGUCCCUGGUUCGAGUCCAGGCAGGCCCACCC